AGGAACUUAGGAUAACCUAGACCAAGGGCCUUCAAAGCCCUAAGCAGGAGUUAAAAUCUCCUAGUUCCUG
Molecule: transfer RNA, 70 nt
Filed under: Lepidocephalichthys sp. CBM-ZF-14149
Lineage: Eukaryota; Metazoa; Chordata; Actinopteri; Cypriniformes; Cobitidae
Description: tRNA-Trp
Rfam family: tRNA
About the family: Transfer RNA (tRNA) molecules are approximately 80 nucleotides in length. Their secondary structure includes four short double-helical elements and three loops (D, anti-codon, and T loops).
Source: RNAcentral